Triticum dicoccoides is the source of this 1653-nucleotide long non-coding RNA. RefSeq lists it as uncharacterized. The record is from RefSeq and is a predicted model, not a curated record. The transcript is spliced from 2 exons. Lineage: Eukaryota; Viridiplantae; Streptophyta; Magnoliopsida; Poales; Poaceae.
UCCCCUUUCUGUUCUCCCUUCUCUUGGCUCAUAGACUUGCCCCAAAUAGGAUGUUGGCUAGGUCUCCUCGCCGGCGAAGUUCAAUCUCGUCGCCGGCGACCACGGAUUGGAUCGACGAUGAACCUCCGCUCCACUUCUUGGUUUUAGUUCAUCUGAUUGUGCAUCCUUGGUGAAGGCUUUAAACCCGCCGAUGUUGUCUGGAUGGACGCGGACUAGAGUUGCAGCGCGGACUGCUCGACGCAGUGGUUCUCUCAGGCGAAGUAGGAUAUAGGUAUGAAUCCCUUCGUAUCUUCUAAGAAUUUUAUCAAUUCUCCUCUUUCCAAGCUUAUAUGAGCGGCAUGGAUGGGCUGCUGCUAUUUGGUUGACCUUCUCAUGGCUUGUUCGAUUCCUACCAAAUGUAAGUGUUCAUGAUAAGCAUCAUCCCUAAUGCAGAUUAUGUCUUAUAUUUCAUAAACAUCACCGUAAAAUUGAUUUUUUUAUUUGUUGUUACCAUGUCCUAGCAAGAAGUCUUUAACUUGUUAAUUAUAAUUUUGUCCAUAUGUGUCGGUCUGAAAAGGCUGCAUGAGUUUUACUUCGGCAAAGAAAACAUUAUAUUUUUUUGGCUUACUUUCUGUCUUACCACUUUUAUUCUUCCUUACGGUGGCACGAAUAAUGGAUUUAGUUUUGGCAUGCCCGACAUCGAACUCUUCAUCAUCAGGCCUUUUUAAUUGUUGUUGCUGCCGAACUUUUACCACUACAACUCUCUGGGUAUGACGUCUCCGCGCCAACUACGUCUUAACCUGGAUGCUCUUGAUCUCCCGACGCGGGAUCUAGGUGGACUAGAGCGGACAUUCACGGAGGAGGAAAUUCUGCAAACUAUCAAGUUCGUGCCACUAGAUAAGGCUCCGGGUCCGGAUGGAUUCACAACCAGGUUCUAUGUUUCAUGCUGGCCUAUUAUCAAAGAUGAUCUGUUCGCAGCUUUCUCGAUGUUCCACCAUGGUGAUAUGAGGGGUUUGGCUUCCAUCAACAAGGCGCUGGUUACUCUUUUGCGAAAAGGGAUGGUGCAGAGGAAUUGAGGGAUUUCAGGCAUGUGAGCUUCAUGCAUGGUGUGAUCAAAAUCUUUGACAAAAUACUAGCGUGCCGGCUUGCUCAUGAGCUGCCAAAUUUGAUCGUCCCCCAUCAGAGUGUGUUUGUCAAAGGGAGAUCACUCCAUCAUAACUUCAUGCUUGAACAGAGCAUGGCAAGGCGCCUACAUGCACUCAAGCACCCUACAAUCAUGCUAAAGUUAGAUAUUUCAAAGGCUUUCGGCACUAUCCAAUGGGCGUUCUUGCUUGAGGUGCUUCAAAGGAUGGGUUUUGGUAGGAUGUGGACGAACUGGAUGGCAGGGAUCUUGGCCACUUCCUCAACCCAUGUCAUGGUGAAUGGAACUCCGGGUGCCCCAAUUCACAGCUGCAAGGGCCUUCGACAGGGUAGCCCCCUUUCUCCAAUGCUUUUCAUUAUUAUAAUGGAGCCACUUCAGAAACUUUUUUAGCUGUCCGUGGAUAGACAGGUGCUUGCCCCCCUUGGGCGGGAGGGAAUCAAACAAAGAUUAUUUGUCUUUGUUGAUGAUGUGAUUAUAUUCCUGAGGCCGGGCACAUCGGAUCUGAGUGCGUGUGUGCGCAUCCUAGACAUCUU